This 486-nucleotide long non-coding RNA is filed under the name Lepidothrix coronata (blue-crowned manakin). Its description in RNAcentral is "lncRNA (ENSLCOG00000013827.1)". The record is from RNAcentral. Lineage: Eukaryota; Metazoa; Chordata; Aves; Passeriformes; Pipridae.
UUGCCGCCUGUCUCCCAAGACAUGCUCAGCUCCGUGAAGCAGCACGGCGGUGUUUGUUUCAGUGUGGCUGCCCGUUGGGGAUUUGCAGGAAUACUGCAGCAAAUCAUCCUGCAUGCAAGGCUGACCUCUGGGAGGCUAACAAAUUGAGGUGAGCCAGCUGGAGCGAUAGGACACUGCCGGCGGACAGAGCAUGCUCAGACCUGGGGGAGAAAGGUAGCUCAGGCUGCAGAUGGUGCACGGGUUACGGUGCCGAGAGCCGAUAGAAAGGAUUUUUCCUUUUUCUUUGUGGUGGUGAGGAGAGAAGAGGACUGGAGAGUGUUCGUUCCCCUGCAAAGCAUAGCCUUAAGGUGUCUUCUUUUUUCUUUCUCCUGUGAAAGAGAGGCACUGGAUAGCCUUUCCUGUUAUUUAGCAACACCAGUUACCUGCUGCCUCCUGGGAAAGUUUCCCAUCCCAGGACUGCUGCUGCUCACAGUGCCUAACAGCUGA